RNAcentral lists this ribosomal RNA (256 nucleotides) under uncultured bacterium. RNAcentral describes it as "partial 16S ribosomal RNA". It matches the Rfam family "Bacterial small subunit ribosomal RNA", at positions 98 to 354 of the family's 1533-position model. The record is from RNAcentral.
CGGGACGGGUGAGUAACGCGUGGGUAACCUGCCUCAUACAGGGGGAUAACAGUUAGAAAUGACUGCUAAUACCGCAUAAGCGCACAAAACCGCAUGGUUUGGUGUGAAAAACUGAGGUGGUAUGAGAUGGACCCGCGUCUGAUCAGCUAGUUGGAGAGGUAACGGCUCACCAAGGCAACGAUCAGUAGCCGACCUGAGAGGGUGACCGGCCACAUUGGGACUGAGACACGGCCCAAACUCCUACGGAAGGCAGCAG